This 232-nucleotide ribosomal RNA is filed under the name uncultured bacterium. RNAcentral's name for it is "partial 16S ribosomal RNA". It matches the Rfam family "Bacterial small subunit ribosomal RNA", at positions 85 to 334 of the family's 1533-position model. The record is from RNAcentral.
CAAUACGGCAGCGGCAGACGGGAGAGUAACACGUGGGAACGCGCCCUUCGGUUCGGAAUAACUCAGGGAAACUUGAGCUAAUACCGGAUACGCCCUUACGGGGAAAGAUUUAUUGCCGAAGGAACGGCCCGCGUCCGAUUAGCUAGUUGGUGAGGUAAUGGCUCACCAAGGCAACGAUCGGUAGCUGGUCUGAGAGGAUGACCAGCCUCACUGGGACUGAGACACGGCCCAG